Schizophyllum amplum is the source of this 90-nucleotide non-coding RNA. Lineage: Eukaryota; Fungi; Basidiomycota; Agaricomycetes; Agaricales; Schizophyllaceae. The record is from the annotation of a GenBank genome assembly.
GGUUCAAUGGUCUAAUGGUUAUGAUUUUCGUCUCACAUCUCCGAUGGUGUCGUCCACGAAAGGUUCCCGGUUCGAUCCCGGGUUGAACCA